Long non-coding RNA from Thalassophryne amazonica, 188 nucleotides. RefSeq lists it as uncharacterized. The record is from RefSeq and is a predicted model, not a curated record. NCBI's taxonomy places the organism in Eukaryota, Metazoa, Chordata, Actinopteri, Batrachoidiformes, Batrachoididae. The transcript is spliced from 3 exons.
UGGAGUUGGUGAUCUGAGACUUUUCCAGACAGUAGUGGAGCCGUUGGCUGAGAACUGAUGCUGGAGUUUCUCAGAGUACAGCCGUUUAGCUUCCCUGACCACCCUGCGGAGGAAACUCAUCUCGGCAGCUUGUACUCGCGAUCUCGUUCUUUCGGUCAUGAGCCAAAUCUCAUGACCAUAGGUGAGGA